GACGAACGCUGGCGGCGUGCCUAAUACAUGCAAGUCGAACGAGAGCGACCGGUGCUUGCACUGGUCAAUCUAGUGGCGAACGGGUGAGUAACACGUGGGUAACCUGCCCAUCAGAGGGGGAUAACAUCCGGAAACGGAUGCUAAAACCGCAUAGGUCUUCGAGCCGCAUGGCUUGAAGAGGAAAAGAGGCGCAAGCUUCUGCUGAUGGAUGGACCCGCGGUGCAUUAGCUAGUUGGUGAGGUAACGGCUCACCAAGGCCGUGAUGCAUAGCCGACCUGAGAGGGUGAUCGGCCACAUUGGGACUGGGACACGGCCCAAACUCCUACGGGAGGCAGCAGUAGGGAAUCUUCCGCAAUGGACGCAAGUCUGACGGAGCAACGCCGCGUGAGUGAAGAAGGUUUUCGGAUCGUAAAACUCUGUUGUUAGAGAAGAACAAGUGCUAGAGUAACUGUUAGCGCCUUGACGGUAUCUAACCAGAAAGCCACGGCUAACUACGUG
Molecule: ribosomal RNA, 498 nt
Filed under: uncultured bacterium
Lineage: Bacteria
Description: partial 16S ribosomal RNA
Rfam family: Bacterial small subunit ribosomal RNA
Source: RNAcentral